Long non-coding RNA from Cynoglossus semilaevis (tongue sole), 2535 nucleotides. RefSeq lists it as uncharacterized. The record is from RefSeq and is a predicted model, not a curated record. The transcript has 3 exons. Lineage: Eukaryota; Metazoa; Chordata; Actinopteri; Pleuronectiformes; Cynoglossidae.
UUUAACUGGGACUGCAAGUUCACACGCAUAUUUAAAAUUGGUUCCAACCGCUCCUAACCAGGAUAGAGUUGAAAGUUGAAAAACUUGUUUCAGCUACAGCCCUGCGUAUAAAGUAUAGGUUUGUUGCUUCUUAACGCCACUACAACAAAUACUUUACAGCAGUUAGCAGAUGACAAACACACUAAGGGUCGCACUUCAAUCACGUUGGGACGUUUUAGCACUACUAGAUCACGUAUCUUAGCAAGCAAAAAAGGAAAUAAUAAGAUUUACUUUUAAGAUGACAAACUUUGCACACAUGGUCAGGUGAUAUUGUUUUGCCCUCUGAACUCGACCAGCAGUAGCGUUUGUCGUUCGGUAGCGCUGUGAACUUGAAGCUAACAGGCAAAAUAUACCCGUAGCUUUUCGAGAUGCUAACGCCAGAUUAAGAAUAGGAGAUAUUGAAAACUUUACGUCAGUGUUGUUCAGUAUAAUCUGGAAGUUUUUAUGUGAAAUGUAAGUCACAGCAUAUUCGCUAAGGUGCAGCAGAUUUUGGUUAACUUCAAACGAUGCAGCGAAAAACUAGCUAUUUAGCUCAGAACAUUAGCAUUAGCCGUUGAUGAGCAUUUUAGCCCCGGCAACAACGUGAAUCGUCCCGUCAGUUUAACCUCCAAUAUUCCAACUACCGGAAAAUAUUUCAGCUGGAGCUCUCCAAGAUUUUUUGACAUCCCUGUGCCGCAGAUCUGAUGGACAAACUCUGGAGCUGGACCUUGAAUUUCCUUUGUGAGCCAACAGCCAUCAAACUGACUGCCUUGACUCUCAGAGGCUCCACUUUUUUCAAACGUCACUGCAGACACAAUAACAACCUGGCCAUAAAGCAUCUCGUCCAACAGAUGCUACACCGAAGACGACCACAGUCCAUUAUAGAGCCCGUUAAAUCCACUCCCAACCCACCGUCACCCCGGCCCCAGGCACUCUCCCCAGUGUUUUUGUCUCGUGGCACAGACGAGGACAGAGUUAUGGCCCAGAGUCACUCGUCAGAGAGAAGCCGUGGCACGGCUGACAAUGCUGCUCCAUAAAAAAAAGGAACGCCUGCUUCUGUCAGGACAGAUGUUUUUUUUUUUUUUUAAUCCUGUGACAGAUGUGUUCAUCAUCAUGAGGGUUUGCUCUUUUUGAGCAGAUUUGCUUUAGAGACCAGCGUGUGAACAUAUGGACACAUCUGAGAUUGGAAAAUGAAGCGUGAAAUAAGGUGGAGCUCUCAAACCUCUGGUUCACGGCCUAGGUGGUGGGUAUUGAGAAGUAUUCUAAUGAGAAGUUCCUAAACAUCUCUUUUCAAUGAUAUGCAGCGUGAUUACAGUGAACUCCGGGUGUGGCAGACUGAGAAAUUAGACCACAGAAGCUGCGGAAAACGUUUUCCACCGUGCUUGAAAACAAAUGUUUAUUUUAGUGAUAAACUGCAGCAGUCGACAUCAAAAGUGACAACCAGCACCAAGGACUGAUGCCACAUCCAUCUGAAGAAACGUGUUCGACUGGAAUUCUUUAUUUUGUGUUCAAUCCCCGGCCUCAUGCAUUAAACCAACGUUAAUCCAACACAAAUCCGAGUGAUUUUCCUAAACUAAUCCCUAAAUUAUGUGCAAAUCCCAAAUUGUGUGUAGAUUUUGAAGAACCCACUAGCAGUGGCUCCGUCCUUGACUUUCAUAUUUAUUUCCUCGGCUAACCGUUUCCAAACAUUUCAUCCAGCUUUCUGCGUGGAAGCGGAGCCAAAAGCAGAGUUCUGGCAGUGGCUUCUGUUUUAAUGGGACACAAGUGUGUUUAGAAUUCUGAGCCUAAAGAAUGAGAAAGUCUCUGGUCUGCGUUUUCCAUCUGAAGUUUACUGUUUCAGAAGGAACUGGAGUGGAAUGAGGUACAGAGGCAGAAUGUGCUGACGCCGUCGAUGUGGCCCAACCACAGAUUGAACCUCCGCAGGAGAAACGACGGCUCCUGUGACCAAACAAGGGAUGUUCUGAUAACACUGCAGCGUGAUGACUAUUAUUUCACCAUUGAUGAAUAAACGAAGUUGAACUGAAUCCAUUUUCCUACGAUCUAUACACAUUCCUGUGUUGAUGGAACAAAGUAUUGAGUUUCAAGAACGCUGGAAAAUGUUUUUUUUUAAUAGGAGCGGUUGUUCCAUCCUGACCUGACCACAGCAAAUCACCAGCCUCCGGUUCACUGUAUUCCUCCCCUACGGCUUCACUAACCAUCUUCACGUCUUCACUCCAUCCUCGAAUCAUUUCUUAGGUCUUUUUCUUUGUAUCCAACACGGCAAAUCUCCACCUUUUCACACCUGUCGGAUUCCAGAUCUGGAUCAGAGACCUCCGUCUCCUCCAACAUAGUCUUUCUGAGGAUUUUUAUUUCAUUUUCCAAACAUGAAUCAGUUUGUCAGGUCAAACACAAGGGCCAAAUGACUGUGAACUAAAACUAAAUGGCACAUAUAUCAAGACCUGACUUGGGGAUGUUCUUAAACCUGAGGGACUUGAACUGUAAUGUAAUAUAGACUUGGAAUCUAUUAAAAGACUCUCA